This 1471-nucleotide unclassified non-coding RNA is filed under the name uncultured fungus. Its description in RNAcentral is "sequence contains 18S rRNA gene, ITS1, 5.8S rRNA gene, ITS2, 28S rRNA gene". The stretch from base 527 to 1471 matches the Rfam family "Eukaryotic large subunit ribosomal RNA", at positions 1 to 961 of the family's 3401-position model. The record is from RNAcentral. Lineage: Eukaryota; Fungi.
GGAAGGAUCAUUACCGAGUGCGGGUCCUUUGGGCCCAACCUCCCAUCCGUGUCUAUUGUACCCUGUUGCUUCGGCGGGCCCGCCGCUUGUCGGCCGCCGGGGGGGCGCCUCUGCCCCCCGGGCCCGUGCCCGCCGGAGACCCCAACACGAACCCUGUCUGAAAGCGUGCAGUCUGAGUCGAUUGUUUGCAAUCAGUUAAAACUUUCAACAAUGGAUCUCUUGGUUCCGGCAUCGAUGAAGAACGCAGCGAAAUGCGAUAACUAAUGUGAAUUGCAGAAUUCAGUGAAUCAUCGAGUCUUUGAACGCACAUUGCGCCCCCUGGUAUUCCGGGGGGCAUGCCUGUCCGAGCGUCAUUGCUGCCCUCAAGCCCGGCUUGUGUGUUGGGUCGCCGUCCCCUCUCUCCGGGGGGACGGGCCCGAAAGGCAGCGGCGGCACCGCGUCCGAUCCUCGAGCGUAUGGGGCUUUGUCACAUGCUCUGUAGGAUUGGCCGGCGCCUGCCGACGUUUUCCAACCAUUCUUUCCAGGUUGACCUCGGAUCAGGUAGGGAUACCCGCUGAACUUAAGCAUAUCAAUAAGCGGAGGAAAAGAAACCAACCGGGAUUGCCUCAGUAACGGCGAGUGAAGCGGCAAGAGCUCAAAUUUGAAAGCUGGCUCCUUCGGAGUCCGCAUUGUAAUUUGCAGAGGAUGCUUUGGGUGCGGCCCCCGUCUAAGUGCCCUGGAACGGGCCGUCAGAGAGGGUGAGAAUCCCGUCUUGGGCGGGGUGUCCGUGCCCGUGUAAAGCUCCUUCGACGAGUCGAGUUGUUUGGGAAUGCAGCUCUAAAUGGGUGGUAAAUUUCAUCUAAAGCUAAAUACUGGCCGGAGACCGAUAGCGCACAAGUAGAGUGAUCGAAAGAUGAAAAGCACUUUGAAAAGAGAGUUAAACAGCACGUGAAAUUGUUGAAAGGGAAGCGCUUGCGACCAGACUCGCCCGCGGGGUUCAGCCGGCAUUCGUGCCGGUGUACUUCCCCGUGGGCGGGCCAGCGUCGGUUUGGGCGGCCGGUCAAAGGCCCCUGGAAUGUAGUGCCCUCCGGGGCACCUUAUAGCCAGGGGUGCAAUGCGGCCAGCCUGGACCGAGGAACGCGCUUCGGCACGGACGCUGGCAUAAUGGUCGUAAACGACCCGUCUUGAAACACGGACCAAGGAGUCUAACAUCUACGCGAGUGUUCGGGUGUCAAACCCGUGCGCGCAGUGAAAGCGAACGGAGGUGGGAGCCCCCUUGCGGGGCGCACCAUCGACCGAUCCUGAAGUCUUCGGAUGGAUUUGAGUAGGAGCGUAGCUGUGGGGACCCGAAAGAUGGUGAACUAUGCCUGAAUAGGGCGAAGCCAGAGGAAACUCUGGUGGAGGCUCGCAGCGGUUCUGACGUGCAAAUCGAUCGUCAAAUUUGGGUAUAGGGGCGAAAGACUAAUCGAACCAUCUAGUAGCUGGUUCCUGC